Molecule: long non-coding RNA, 308 nt
Filed under: Brassica rapa (field mustard)
Lineage: Eukaryota; Viridiplantae; Streptophyta; Magnoliopsida; Brassicales; Brassicaceae
Description: long non-coding RNA (BRAP_LNC005330)
Source: RNAcentral
GCUUGAAUAUGUUCUCUUCUUUAAUGUGUUAAUUGUACUAUAUAUAACAUUAUUUUAAAAUUUCAAAAAGUUUACGUCACAUACAAAAAACCAUCAAUAAAAGAUAUAAUUACAACAAGAAAAAUAAAAAAUUAUAAACAUAUAAAUUUAAAUUAAGAAAAACUAACAUUGGAAAAACAAGAAAUUAAUAUAAAAGAAAAAAAACCGACAAAUAAUAUUAUAUAUAAUAUAAAUUUAUAAGACACAAUCCGCGCGAAGCGCGGAAAAAAUCUCUAGUAUCAAUAAUAGGGAAACAAAUAUAUUACCAG